GUGUCAGCCGCCGCGGUAAUACGAAGGGGGCUAGCGUUGUUCGGAAUCACUGGGCGUAAAGGGCGCGUAGGCGGCUUUUCAAGUCGGGGGUGAAAGCCUGUGGCUCAACCACAGAAUUGCCUUCGAUACUGUUAGGCUUGAGACCGGAAGAGGUGAGUGGAACUGCGAGUGUAGAGGUGAAAUUCGUAGAUAUUCGCAAGAACACCAGUGGCGAAGGCGGCUCACUGGUCCGGUUCUGACGCUGAGGCGCGAAAGCGUGGGGAGCAAACAGGAUUAGAAACCCCCGUAGUCC
This 292-nucleotide ribosomal RNA is filed under the name uncultured bacterium. Its description in RNAcentral is "partial 16S ribosomal RNA". It matches the Rfam family "Bacterial small subunit ribosomal RNA", at positions 505 to 796 of the family's 1533-position model. The record is from RNAcentral.